RNAcentral lists this ribosomal RNA (901 nucleotides) under Dermea pinicola. RNAcentral describes it as "LSU rRNA". It matches the Rfam family "Eukaryotic large subunit ribosomal RNA", at positions 74 to 1007 of the family's 3401-position model. Lineage: Eukaryota; Fungi; Ascomycota; Leotiomycetes; Helotiales; Dermateaceae. The record is from RNAcentral.
AUUACCUCAGUAACGGCGAGUGAAGCGGUAACAGCUCAAAUUUGAAAUCUGGGUCCUUUGGGCUCCGAGUUGUAAUUUGUAGAAGAUGCUUCGGGUGCGGCACCGGUCUAAGUUCCUUGGAACAGGACGUCAUAGAGGGUGAGAAUCCCGUAUGUGAUUGGCUGCCUGCGCCCGUGUGAAGCUCUUUCGACGAGUCGAGUUGUUUGGGAAUGCAGCUCAAAAUGGGUGGUAAAUUUCAUCUAAAGCUAAAUAUUGGCCAGAGACCGAUAGCGCACAAGUAGAGUGAUCGAAAGAUGAAAAGCACUUUGGAAAGAGAGUUAAACAGUACGUGAAAUUGUUGAAAGGGAAGCGCUUGCGACCAGACUUGCGCGUUGUUGAUCAUCCGGGGUUCUCCCCGGUGCACUCGACCUCGCUCAGGCCAGCAUCGGUUUCGGUGGCUGGAUAAAGGCCUUGGGAAUGUAGCUUCUUUCGGGGAGUGUUAUAGCCCUCGGUGCAAUGCAGCCUACCGGGACCGAGGACCGCGCUUCGGCUAGGAUGCUGGCGUAAUGGUCGUAAGCGACCCGUCUUGAAACACGGACCAAGGAGUCUAACAUCUAUGCGAGUGUUUGGGUGUCAAACCCAUACGCGGAAUGAAAGUGAACGGAGGUGAGAACCCUCAAGGGUGCAUCACCGACCGGUCCUGAUGUCUUCGGAUGGAUCUGAGUAAGAGCAUAGCUGUUGGGACCCGAAAGAUGGUGAACUAUGCCUGAAUAGGGUGAAGCCAGAGGAAACUCUGGUGGAGGCUCGCAGCGGUUCUGACGUGCAAAUCGAUCGUCAAAUUUGGGUAUAGGGGCGAAAGACUAAUCGAACCAUCCGGAUGGCAUAUGUAGAUUAAUUGUUGAUAAAACGUUCGUUUUUUUUA